AUAUUUACUUUGCAAUUUUGCUGCAAUUACAAGCGAUUUGAUCUGGUUUUGUUAUAAUUUCGUUUCAAUUUUAUGCGAAUAGGUACUGAGUUUAUAAAAGUAACAUAAUAUUGUCUUGUAUAUAAUUAGUUUUUGUGUAUUUCGGAUUCCGUUUACAUCUAGGUACCUACUAUGUCGGGGUCCUACGAGAAAGCUGGCGUAUCAACGCCACGAAUAUUCAGGCGCCCGUAAAUCGUCAAAACGAGUGAAAAGCGCAUUCAGUUGGAUACAUGUGGACGACAAGAUAGUAAACCUGUAAAUUAUAACUCAAGUUGUGGCCAGCUUCAUUGUAAACAAACUUUAGUUUUCAAGUUCAAGGACAAAUGCGUGUCAGUAACAUGGAUAAAUGCUACUUCAUAUGUUUUAUUUCAGUCAAUGAACCUUUGACUGUUAUAGAAGUUUGUCGAGAUAAUAUAAUGACUUUAUCAGCAAUAUGAUGCCAAAGUUAAUACACUUUUUUAAAGAAUGUAUUCUGCCAGAAAUAGUUUUGAGACAUGUUCAAAAAAUGCGAAAUGUAUACCUAGGUAUGAAAGCAGCUGUGUAGCGGUAGUUUCCAGGCAAUAAUGAAGAAGGAUGAGUGAAAACAACACGACAAAUGUUUUUUAUUGUACUAUUAUAGUAGUGCGUUUAGAAUCUACAUUAUCAAUGUUUACAGUCAUGUUUUUUUUGAUGUCAGAAAACUGAAAUGGUGUACUCGUCGUAAUGAACAUAAUGUUCAUAAUGUGAUAUGAAUACAUUGACCUAUUUUAAGGUUUCUGAAAAACAAAAAGGAAAGUUGUUGCUUUUUUAUUUCCUUAUGUAGUAUAGUGAUUAUGGAUGCUUAGAUAUUCUCAAACAUUUUUCCGCUUUGAUUGCAAUCUAUUAUUCUGGUUGCCUUGUUUAUGAAUUAUAGUUUUGAAUUAUUAUUUUGAAUGAGAUUAUUUUUUAAUAAUCAGUCACGUAUCAAGCAUUCAUGUCACAUAAAUACUUGUAAUAAUUGCAGGUUAGUAUAUACAUUCUAUUAAAUAAUGUAUAAGAUAAUAAAAUAAAACUGUCUUACAUUGCA
This is a long non-coding RNA of Spodoptera frugiperda (fall armyworm), 1084 nucleotides long. RefSeq lists it as uncharacterized. The transcript is spliced from 3 exons. The record is from RefSeq and is a predicted model, not a curated record. Lineage: Eukaryota; Metazoa; Arthropoda; Insecta; Lepidoptera; Noctuidae.